UACACAUGCAGUCGACGGUGAACACGGAGCUUGCUCUGUGGGAUCAGUGGCGAACGGGUGAGUAACACGUGAGCAACCUGCCCCUGACUCUGGGAUAAGCGCUGGAAACGGCGUCUAAUACUGGAUAUGUGACGUGACCGCAUGGUCUGCGUCUGGAAAGAAUUUCGGUUGGGGAUGGGCUCGCGGCCUAUCAGCUUGUUGGUGAGGUAAUGGCUCACCAAGGCGUCGACGGGUAGCCGGCCUGAGAGGGUGACCGGCCACACUGGGACUGAGACACGGCCCAGACUCCUACGGGAGGCAGCAGUGGGGAAUAUUGCACAAUGGGCGCAAGCCUGAUGCAGCAACGCCGCGUGAGGGACGACGGCCUUCGGGUUGUAAACCUCUUUUAGCAGGGAAGAAGCGAAAGUGACGGUACCUGCAGAAAAAGCGCCGGCUAACUACGUGCCAGCAGCCGCGGUAAUACGUAGGGCGCAAGCGUUAUCCGGAAUUAUUGGGCGUAAAGAGCUCGUAGGCGGUUUGUCGCGUCUGCUGUGAAAUCCGGAGGCUCAACCUCCGGCCUGCAGUGGGUACGGGCAGACUAGAGUGCGGUAGGGGAGAUUGGAAUUCCUGGUGUAGCGGUGGAAUGCGCAGAUAUCAGGAGGAACACCGAUGGCGAAGGCAGAUCUCUGGGCCGUAACUGACGCUGAGGAGCGAAAGGGUGGGGAGCAAACAGGCUUAGAUACCCUGGUAGUCCACCCCGUAAACGUUGGGAACUAGUUGUGGGGUCCAUUCCACGGAUUCCGUGACGCAGCUACGCAUAGUCCCC
This 805-nucleotide ribosomal RNA is filed under the name Microbacterium oxydans. RNAcentral describes it as "bacterial SSU rRNA". It matches the Rfam family "Bacterial small subunit ribosomal RNA", at positions 50 to 869 of the family's 1533-position model. Lineage: Bacteria; Bacillati; Actinomycetota; Actinomycetes; Micrococcales; Microbacteriaceae. The record is from RNAcentral.